CGCGGCCGGGCGCGGUGCGGGCGGCGGGCAGCGAGGUGCCCGAGCCCCUCCUGCUCCGGUAAGGCCUCGGUUUCGAUGGGAAGGACUGAGAGCGCGGGAGUAGGAGCAGGCGGAGGGUAGACUACAAUUGGAAGGUGGGAUUAAUCUAAGGUUGAGCCUUGUUGAAGGUUGGGGUGCAGCUGGGUCCGGGAGCCCCGGCGGCCCUGGUGCACUGUUUGACUUUGCAGUUCAGCGGGUGUUGGGCUUUUCUCCCUGUCUCUCUCUCUCUCUCCCCCCUUCUCGCUUUCUUGGCCUAGAAGUUUGUCCCGGGCACAGCGUGCGUCUUUGGGGGAGUGGGGGAGGGAGGGCGUUUGGCAGCAGAAUCUUCUCCUCCGGUCCCUCCAGUGCCUCUUCCCCCAGUGCAUCCAGAGUCCACGGGUCUUGGUCUCCCGGAGAUCUGGGUGUCUGUUGCCCGCAGCGCGGUCUUGGAAAGUUGAUUCCGGCGGUUUCCUGGUGGGGGCGGGGGAGACCGGAGGCGCGGCGCCCGGGAGGGGGAAAGGAGUGGGUGGGGAAGCGCCUCGGGUGAGGAGUUGCAACCCAGGCGAGAAGUUGUGAGAAAACUGUGAUCCGGAGACACCUUUUACAUACAAAAAACAAACGACUAGGCGGGAAACCGCAGGGCAUCAGUGGCGGCUGGUGGGUGGUGGUAUGGCAGCGGGAAGCUCCGUCUGGAGCUGCACUGAGAGGCUGCAAUGGAUUCGGGUGUGCAGCGUGAGGGCAGAGUGGGCCCGGCUCCCCUCCUCCCCCGUUCCAGGCUCUGGGCUUGCCACAGCUUCCCGAGACCACCGCAGACCACACCCCCUGUAGUUCACUCUUCAGGGAGCCCUUCCUUCCCCAAUUCCGAAUAUGACCCUCGGGACCACUGCCCCGGGGCCGGUUAUUCCAAAUGUGGGGUUAAGGUGCGGGUCCUGGGAACCUCAGCCUCCAAGAGUCACUCUAUUUCCUUGGCCUAGAUCAGUCAAAUUCCAAAUUCCUUUCCGACAGCACUACUUCUGUGCCAAACCGGGAUUUCUCCUGAGGUCUGAAGGUGUCAGGGCUGGGCAGUCCUGUUUUUGCUCCUCGUUUUUUGUUUUUGUUUUUAUUUUUGUUUUGUCUUGUUUUGUUCGGGGGGGGUGCUAAGAAGACGCAUUCAGCCCUACCGUGGAAGAAAAUAAGGACGGGCAGCCAGCCAGGUCUAGUUAGCAUUUUGGAAUUGGCCUUUCGAUCCCACUAGUGGUGUGGGACUCAGAGAUUCCACACAACGGCCGGGGACUAAGUUGGGGGAAAUGCGCGCUGAAACGCAAUUACAACGAACCUGAGCGGGCCUGGGAUCCAGGUCUCAGCAAACCGAAUACCCUCUUCGGACGAACCGGGUAGCCGCUACAGCGAAUCUGGUUUGCGCUCUGUGGAGGUGGAGUUUUAGGGCUCCGCCCACGCCCCUUCUCUGCCUUCGAGCUUCUGCCCACACCACCCUGCAAUCUCGAGGCCGCCGUCAGCCUCCCACCUUGCCUCCUACUUCACCUUUUCAUCAGGAGCCAAAGCCGAGGCGGUGUGCGCCUUUUUGGCCUCCGCGCAUCCUGACCUCUGGUUGCCGGGCCUCUAACAGCUUCUCGACAGCCCCUCCACACACACCUGGGCUGGGGCUCCCGGAUGCAGGGAAGGCGGUGUUGGGGCUGGUUAUCUCUCUCUAAUCAAGACCCCCCUGUGGGCCUCUCUCAGGGCCUGGCUCAGGGGAGGGGUAAGAAGGGAGAGCAGUUCUCUAACCCGGCAGCCCAGCUUCGCGAGAUCCGACUGGGUUUUCGUGCUCCUGGGGCAGACCCAGAGGGACAAGCCGAUUCGCACCCAGUGCUCCAGCACGUGCGGAGGCGCAAGGAGCUGCUUGGCUCAGGGGUCCCCAUCUCCUGCCCUCGGAGCCCGAGGUGCCUCCCCAGCCCGCUGGGUUGGAUGAGGCCCGCGGGGAGGGGCUGGUCCAGUCGAGCCAUCCACACGCUCCCCCCCCAGCUGUCCUGGUUCUCGCCGCAGCGCCCUCGACCCAACCGCCCCUUUCUGGAAUCUAAAGCCUCGGAGUCCCGAGUGGCUCAACCCCCGCCCCCGUCCCAGCUGGGCUCCUUCUCAUGCAAAGCAGAGGGGCCGCGGGGGUGGAGGGCGGUCGACAGGGACCUACGGGGAGACAGCUGGACCCGGCUGCCGGCCCUUCCUGAACCCAAGGCCCGCUGUCUCCCUUCGAGUGGACAGCAGGGGGUUGCUCCACCCGUUUAAGGGUGCAGGGAUCUAGGGACCUCGGCAUAGGCGGGGGGAAGAGGGCCCCUCCCUGCUGGGGACCAACGCGGUAGGGGAGCUGAGAGGACGAGGACAGGAUGCAGGCUCUGGGGCAUCAGGCUCUGUUUGUCCCUGUGUCCAGAUGGUUCACUAAACAGGUCUGCGGGAACCAGCCCUGGCGGCUACCACAGAGUCCGGCAGCGCAACUCUAGGCGCGCCUCUUGGCUCCUGAUUCUAGUCCCGAUUUAAUGCCUCCGUGGCGACAGCACUCUAUUAAUGCGGGUUUUUUUUUUCGUUUCCAUUGAGCUUUUAUUUUAAAACGUAUUUAGUCGUAUAGACAUGGACAGAAAACGGACCCAGCUUUCCAAAUUAGCCGCUUCUGAAGGCUCGCAGCCCAGCUCUGCAUUUAAACCAAUGGCUGCUCCGUGAAGAGCGCCAACCUCCCCUCCUUACUCUCACCGCCACACUUCCUGCCAGCGUCCUGAAGUACACAGCGCUUUCCUACGCCAGGACCUCCAAGUCGCACAGAACCACAACCACGCACACCGCCCCAGGGCGUGUAAACUCUGCGCGGGUGCUGUGAGGGUCAGUUUCGAGGCGGAGUUUUCGCUCGGUGGCAGCGGAAUAAUCCUCUCCACUUCAUCCCCAGGCUUUCUUGGAAAAGGCCCCAGAGGGGCCAGGAAGCGCCUUUCACAGUUCCAGUCUCCCUUCUGAGAAGCGCCUUGAGGAUCAGUCCGAGAGGCCGGACCCUGCUGGGGAGCUGGGGUUGGAGGGGGUUCUGCUAGCCCUCCCCAGCCGCCCUGCAGUUUGGGAGGGUUGAAGGCGCCCUCUCUUGCAGUCCGCUUUCCUCCCGCGACCUCCGUGGUUCCAAGCCCUAGAUCGCCUGGCUCCCUGACGUUCUCGAGUGGCUUGCGCGGCCCAAGAACCCAAGCCUGCCCGGCACGGUCAGCUGCUGUAGAUCGAGAGCGGCGCCCGCCCCUGGCCGCUUCCCUCCUCGCCCACUCACUCACUGUGCAGCCCACCAGCCCCAGAAAAAGGCGGCGAGGCCGUGAAAGGAGGCGCUUGGGGCUGAGCGGACUCUAGGCGGUUAACUUUGCGGGGCGGUAGGAGUGGGGCGCAACCAGCCUCGCCGGUGCAGGCAGAGAGAGGAGAGAGCGAGCGGGUCGUCUCGAGUGGUCCGGGAGGCCGCACAAACUGCGCACAGACCCGGUAGGACGUCGCGGAUGGGCACGGGAAAGUUUGGCCCAGGGCCCUUGGAUCUGAUCCUACUUCUCCAGCUCUCUCCUUUCCCUUUGCUCUGCUCCUGACUCAGGUUGUCCUAAUCUCACUCCAUCACUCACUCCUGGUGAUGAUCUACGUGUGUGCACCACUUUACAGUUUAUAUCACUAUCUCCCCUGAACCGCAUAGUAGGAGGGGGAUUGGUUUUAGCUUCUUUCUCCCCAGGAAAGAGAGCCAAGUCAGGGGGUUUGCCCGAGAUCCCUGAGCCAGGGCACUGCUGAAGGUGAGAAAUUUGGGGUUGGGGGCUUGUCACCUUGGAUUGCUGUGCACUUUGCCCCAGCGGUGGCUUCCAAGUUGGGGAUGGGAGAGGGUGGGGGACCGCGGGGCCGGGAAAGGGCAGCAUCCGGCCGGGGCUUCACGGUGUGAGCGCUCUGGCUGGGUAAACAAGGCUGGCUUCCCACGAGGGCCGGGGAGGGGGCCGGGGCUGGGGGGUGGGGCGGGCAAGGUCAAGCGUGGCGAUCUCAGAUGGAAGGCAGCGCCGCGGAGCAAAGACCGGUCGUUGAUAGUCGCCGAGGGGAGAGAGAGAGAGAGGGACAGAAGUGAGUGGAGAGGGACAGGGAGAGGGAAUAAGGACAGAAAACUAGGGAAAAGAAAAGCAAUGCGGAAACGCAUGCAGGGAUAAAAGGAGGGAAGGGCGCUGGGGGCAAUGCUGGGAGGAGCAGAGGAAAAGAGAAGAGACCCAAAAAGACACCCACACCUAGGCGACAUAAAAAAGCAGCGGGCAGGGAGAGGUGCGCAGCCGAGCACCCGCAGGUGCUGGGGGGGACAUCUGGCGGGACUCGAGGGUGCGAGGGUGUGUGACAGUCGCGCUCGUAGGCGGGAGAAAAGGAGGCAGCGUGUUUGGUGGGCGACUCAGCGCCCGUGGAAAAGCGUGUGAGCGGCUCUGGGCAGGAAUCCAACAAAUAAAUAAAACGUCUAAGCGGCGUGACAACAAUG
This 4492-nucleotide long non-coding RNA is filed under the name Lynx pardinus (Iberian lynx). The record is from RNAcentral. Lineage: Eukaryota; Metazoa; Chordata; Mammalia; Carnivora; Felidae.